RNAcentral lists this ribosomal RNA (600 nucleotides) under Debaryomyces hansenii. Its description in RNAcentral is "eukaryotic LSU rRNA". It matches the Rfam family "Eukaryotic large subunit ribosomal RNA", at positions 1 to 673 of the family's 3401-position model. Lineage: Eukaryota; Fungi; Ascomycota; Pichiomycetes; Serinales; Debaryomycetaceae. The record is from RNAcentral.
CAUGGGUGGGUGUGGUACAUACUUCUGCACACGCACGCCAGCACAGAGCCUCACAAUUUGAAAUCUGGCACCUUCGGUGUCCGAGUUGUAAUUUGAAGAAGGUAACUUUGGAGUUGGCUCUUGUCUAUGUUCCUUGGAACAGGACGUCACAGAGGGUGAGAAUCCCGUGCGAUGAGAUGCCCAAUUCUAUGUAAAGUGCUUUCGAAGAGUCGAGUUGUUUGGGAAUGCAGCUCUAAGUGGGUGGUAAAUUCCAUCUAAAGCUAAAUAUUGGCGAGAGACCGAUAGCGAACAAGUACAGUGAUGGAAAGAUGAAAAGAACUUUGAAAAGAGAGUGAAAAAGUACGUGAAAUUGUUGAAAGGGAAGGGCUUGAGAUCAGACUUGGUAUUUUGCGAUCCUUUCCUUCUUGGUUGGGUUCCUCGCAGCUUACUGGGCCAGCAUCGGUUUGGAUGGUAGGAUAAUGACUAAGGAAUGUGGCUCUACUUCGGUGGAGUGUUAUAGCCUUGGUUGAUACUGCCUGUCUAGACCGAGGACUGCGUCUUUGACUAGGAUGCUGGCAUAAUGAUCUUAAGCCACCCGUCUUGAACCCACGGACCCAGUAU